GAAGCAGGCCAGACCGCCGCUGGUGCGAGCGUGGAAACACGGCACUGGAGGAAGGUCCGGACUGCACAGGGCAGCGUAGCAGCUAACGGCUGUCCACCGCGAGGUGCGGAUCAGAGCAACAGAGACGAGUCUUUGCGGGGUCCUGCAAUGGAGUGUUCUGGGAGGCGCCGGCGCAAGCCGGCGUUCGGUGCGGCUUGCCGUGCCGAACCGGGCGCAAGCCCGGACCGAACAGCCACCCUUUGCGGGGCCUAGCCCCGCAAAGGGUGAAACGGGCAAUCUCUACGCGCAGCAACACCAAAUAGGCACACGGCGACCCGGCCCGGCGAGUGUGCGGGUAGGUGGCAUCGAGCCUGGGGGGCGACUCCCGGCCCAGAGGAAUGGCGGUCACGGCAGGCUUCGCAAGAAGCCGGCCGCACAGAAUCCGGCCUAUCGGUCUGCUUCACAC
This 445-nucleotide RNase P RNA is filed under the name Burkholderiales bacterium. RNAcentral's name for it is "RNase P RNA component class A". It matches the Rfam family "Bacterial RNase P class A". From Rfam's summary of the family: Ribonuclease P (RNase P) is a ubiquitous endoribonuclease, found in archaea, bacteria and eukarya as well as chloroplasts and mitochondria. The record is from RNAcentral. Lineage: Bacteria; Pseudomonadati; Pseudomonadota; Betaproteobacteria; Burkholderiales.